Long non-coding RNA from Juglans microcarpa x Juglans regia, 1075 nucleotides. RefSeq lists it as uncharacterized. The transcript has 2 exons. The record is from RefSeq and is a predicted model, not a curated record. NCBI's taxonomy places the organism in Eukaryota, Viridiplantae, Streptophyta, Magnoliopsida, Fagales, Juglandaceae.
UGUCCUACGUGGAGGGUUAAUGAAACGGUUCAUUUGAUUCGAACCUAUGCAACGACGUGUUUCAGUUUGGAAUUUCUCCUUCUCCCCAUAGCCCUUCUGAUCUCCCAUGAACCCUUCCCCUUCUUCUUCUCCUUCUCCUUCUUCUUCUUAUCUCCACGUACCCUUCCUCCUCUUCUCCAUCUCCAUCCUUAUCUUUUCAAGAUCCUCUAAAAUUGAUAUUCUCCAUCUCCAUCUUCAUGAGUUUCAUCUCUUCUAAUCUUCUCCAUCUUCACGUCUCCUCUGAUCCUCUGAGUUUCCUCAUCAAUAUCUAUUUUCGUCUGCUUAAGUUUCUUAAGUAUGUUUCCUCUUCAACCCACGAAGCCUUAUUUUUCCCUUUCACCGAAUCUUCUCCUCCUUGCCAACACCAAUCCCGAAACCCUAACCCUAACCCUAAUCUAGCCCCUUCCCCUUCAUCCCUAACUUUUGGACGUUGGGUUUGGGCACUGGGACAAAUGGCCAGAGAACCCGCUGGUUUGAGAAUCGGCUCACUCAUUUAUUUAUUUAUUUUUACUCUAGCUAGGAAUAGAGCCCAUGGCUGCAACCGAGUUAGAAAGUCUCUAUGGGUGUCUCAUCCAUCUCUGUGGGUGUCUUUGUGAACAAGUGGGUGCUUGUCUAGCAUGUAAGAGGCAAUUUGUUGGUUACAAGAUCCAAAUGAUUUGUUGCACAAGCAGUGGUCUUGUGGAAACAUCAUAUGGCAAUCGAAAGGGGACGCCUUGUUUUCAAGAGAUGGGAGAGGCACCACUACUUCAAAGUCUGACCCUGAGAUUAUAGACAUGGAGUUUGAGGAUAGAAGAACUCAAGAGUCCGAAACUGAAGCGCCAUGUAUUGGAACCAAUGGUUAUAUUAUAUUGGACAAUUAUUUGUAUUUUUAGCUGAAGAGAUUUUUAUUUGUAAUUAUUUUUAGAUGGUAUGAGAAAUUUUAUGUAUAAAUAUGAUGUUGGUGCUAGCAACUUUACACUAUCUGAAAUUUGAGUUUGUGUAAUGAUAUGAGUUUGUGCGAUGAUACAUUGACAUAAAUAGUAAAUAACUUCCGAAA